This 254-nucleotide ribosomal RNA is filed under the name uncultured bacterium. RNAcentral describes it as "partial 16S ribosomal RNA". It matches the Rfam family "Bacterial small subunit ribosomal RNA", at positions 524 to 776 of the family's 1533-position model. The record is from RNAcentral.
UACGUAGGGAGCGAGCGUUGUCCGAAGUUACUGGGCGUAAAGCGCGCGUAGGCGGCCAAGUGUGUGAGGCGUGAAAGCCUGGAGCUUAACUCCAGAAUUGCACCUCAAACUACUUGGCUAGAGCAUUGGAGAGGGUAGCGGAAUUCACGGUGUAGCAGUGAAAUGCGUAGAUAUCGAUGAGGAACACCAGAGGCGAAGGCGGCUACCUGGACAAUUGCUGACGCUCAGGCACGAAAGCGUGGGGAGCAAAAGGG